RNAcentral lists this transfer RNA (73 nucleotides) under Apaloderma vittatum (bar-tailed trogon). It matches the Rfam family "tRNA". From Rfam's summary of the family: Transfer RNA (tRNA) molecules are approximately 80 nucleotides in length. Their secondary structure includes four short double-helical elements and three loops (D, anti-codon, and T loops). The record is from Rfam by way of RNAcentral. Lineage: Eukaryota; Metazoa; Chordata; Aves; Trogoniformes; Trogonidae.
GGCCAGUUAGCUCAGUCAGUUGAGCGUAGCGCUAACAACGCUACGGUCACGGGUUCAAUUCCUGUUCGGUCCC